Molecule: ribosomal RNA, 441 nt
Filed under: uncultured bacterium
Lineage: Bacteria
Description: partial 16S ribosomal RNA
Rfam family: Bacterial small subunit ribosomal RNA
Source: RNAcentral
CCUACGGUGGCAGCAGUGGGGAAUAUUGGGCAAUGGGCGCAAGCCUGACCCAGCAACGCCGCGUGAAGGAAGAAGGCUUUCGGGUUGUAAACUUCUUUUAAGAGGGAAGAGCAGAAGACGGUACCACUUGAAUAAGCCAUGGCUAACUACGGGCCAGCAGCCGCGGUAAUACGUAGGUGGCAAGCGUUGUCAGGAUUUACUGGGGGUAAAGGGCGUGUAGACGGGCGGUCAAGUCAGAUGUGAAAUCCCGUGGCUCAACCAGGGAACUGCAUUUGAUACUGGCGGUCUUGAGUAUCGGAGAGGCAGGCAGAAUUCCAAGUGUAGCGGUGAAAUGCGUAGAUAUUAGGAGGAACACCAGUGGCGAAGGCGGCCUGCUGGACAACAACUGACGGUGAGGCGCGAAAGCGUGGGGAGCAAACAGGAUUAGAUACCCCAGUAGUC